RNAcentral lists this ribosomal RNA (747 nucleotides) under uncultured cyanobacterium. RNAcentral describes it as "bacterial SSU rRNA". It matches the Rfam family "Bacterial small subunit ribosomal RNA", at positions 8 to 796 of the family's 1533-position model. The record is from RNAcentral. Lineage: Bacteria; Bacillati; Cyanobacteriota.
AGAGUUUGAUCCUGGCUCAGGAUGAACGCUGGCGGUAUGCUUAACACAUGCAAGUCGAACGGAAUCCUUAGGGAUUUAGUGGCGGACGGGUGAGUAACGCGUGAGAAUCUGCCUUAAGGAUUGGGACAACAGUGGGAAACCGCUGCUAAUACCAAAUAUGCCUUUUAGUGAAACGGGUAAAACCGCCUUAAGAUGAGCUCGCGUCUGAUUAGCUAGUUGGUGUGGUAAGAGCGCACCAAGGCAACGAUCAGUAGCUGGUCUGAGAGGACGACCAGCCACACUGGGACUGAGACACGGCCCAGACUCCUACGGGAGGCAGCAGUGAGGAAUUUUCCGCAAUGGGCGAAAGCCUGACGGAGCAAUACCGCGUGAGGGAGGAAGGUUCUUGGAUUGUAAACCUCUUUUCUCAGAGAAGAAUAAUGACGGUAUCUGAGGAAUAAGCAUCGGCUAACUCCGCGCCAGCAGCCGCGGUAAUACGGAGGAUGCAAGCGUUAUCCGGAAUGAUUGGGCGUAAAGGGUCUGUAGGUGGUUGUUCAAGUCUGCUGUUAAAGCGUCUGGCUUAACCAGAUAAAGGCGGUGGAAACUGAACGACUAGAGUGCGGUAGGGGUAGAGGGAAUUCCCAGUGUAGCGGUGAAAUGCGUAGAUCUUGGGAAGAACACCUGUGGCGAAAGCGCUCUACUGGACCGCGACUGACACUGAUGGACGAAAGCUAGGGGAGCGAAUGGGAUUAGAUACCCCCGUAGUCC